GUGGGAACGUAUACACAG
RNAcentral lists this small nuclear RNA (18 nucleotides) under Arabidopsis thaliana (thale cress). RNAcentral's name for it is "snRNA_18484". Lineage: Eukaryota; Viridiplantae; Streptophyta; Magnoliopsida; Brassicales; Brassicaceae. The record is from RNAcentral.